UUAAAUUGAAGAGUUUGAUCAUGGCUCAGAUUGAACGCUGGCGGCAGGCCUAACACAUGCAAGUCGAACGGUAACAGGAAGCAGCUUGCUGCUUUGCUGACGAGUGGCGGACGGGUGAGUAAUGUCUGGGAAACUGCCUGAUGGAGGGGGAUAACUACUGGAAACGGUGGCUAAUACCGCAUAACGUCGCAAGACCAAAGAGGGGGACCUUCGGGCCUCUUGCCAUCAGAUGUGCCCAGAUGGGAUUAGCUUGUUGGUGAGGUAACGGCUCACCAAGGCGACGAUCCCUAGCUGGUCUGAGAGGAUGACCAGCCACACUGGAACUGAGACACGGUCCAGACUCCUACGGGAGGCAGCAGUGGGGAAUAUUGCACAAUGGGCGCAAGCCUGAUGCAGCCAUGCCGCGUGUAUGAAGAAGGCCUUCGGGUUGUAAAGUACUUUCAGCGGGGAGGAAGGUGUUGUGGUUAAUAACCGCAGCAAUUGACGUUACCCGCAGAAGAAGCACCGGCUAACUCCGUGCCAGCAGCCGCGGUAAUACGGAGGGUGCAAGCGUUAAUCGGAAUUACUGGGCGUAAAGCGCACGCAGGCGGUCUGUCAAGUCGGAUGUGAAAUCCCCGGGCUCAACCUGGGAACUGCAUUCGAAACUGGCAGGCUUGAGUCUUGUAGAGGGGGGUAGAAUUCCAGGUGUAGCGGUGAAAUGCGUAGAGAUCUGGAGGAAUACCGGUGGCGAAGGCGGCCCCCUGGACAAAGACUGACGCUCAGGUGCGAAAGCGUGGGGAGCAAACAGGAUUAGAUACCCUGGUAGUCCACGCCGUAAACGAUGUCUACUUGGAGGUUGUGCCCUUGAGGCGUGGCUUCCGGAGCUAACGCGUUAAGUAGACCGCCUGGGGAGUACGGCCGCAAGGUUAAAACUCAAAUGAAUUGACGGGGGCCCGCACAAGCGGUGGAGCAUGUGGUUUAAUUCGAUGCAACGCGAAGAACCUUACCUGGUCUUGACAUCCACAGAAGAAUCCAGAGAUGGAUUUGUGCCUUCGGGAACUGUGAGACAGGUGCUGCAUGGCUGUCGUCAGCUCGUGUUGUGAAAUGUUGGGUUAAGUCCCGCAACGAGCGCAACCCUUAUCCUUUGUUGCCAGCGAUUAGGUCGGGAACUCAAAGGAGACUGCCAGUGAUAAACUGGAGGAAGGUGGGGAUGACGUCAAGUCAUCAUGGCCCUUACGACCAGGGCUACACACGUGCUACAAUGGCGCAUACAAAGAGAAGCGACCUCGCGAGAGCAAGCGGACCUCAUAAAGUGCGUCGUAGUCCGGAUUGGAGUCUGCAACUCGACUCCAUGAAGUCGGAAUCGCUAGUAAUCGUGGAUCAGAAUGCCACGGUGAAUACGUUCCCGGGCCUUGUACACACCGCCCGUCACACCAUGGGAGUGGGUUGCAAAAGAAGUAGGUAGCUUAACCUUCGGGAGGGCGCUUACCACUUUGUGAUUCAUGACUGGGGUGAAGUCGUAACAAGGUAACCGUAGGGGAACCUGCGGUUGGAUCACCUCCUUACCUUAAAGAA
This 1554-nucleotide ribosomal RNA is filed under the name Salmonella enterica subsp. enterica serovar Typhimurium. RNAcentral describes it as "bacterial SSU rRNA". It matches the Rfam family "Bacterial small subunit ribosomal RNA". The record is from RNAcentral. Lineage: Bacteria; Pseudomonadati; Pseudomonadota; Gammaproteobacteria; Enterobacterales; Enterobacteriaceae. RNAcentral also lists the same sequence under 1 other name.